UUUCAUCAAGGAAGACCCCAACAUAAAGACUACCGCUUAACCUGAAUGUGCAAACUAUGAAAGAGUGCUCUUUCAUAGCAAGAAACCUUGAUUUGCUUGGAAUUUACAGCCUGGCUUCUGGAUAAGAUAUGAAUUUUAAUACAUGGAUAUGGUCUAAAUAUGAACUGGAGAACUGGAAAUCUGAUAGUGGAGGCAUGUUCAGUCCCAUAAAGCGUAACCUAUAGAUAAUCA
Long non-coding RNA from Hemicordylus capensis (graceful crag lizard), 231 nucleotides. RefSeq lists it as uncharacterized. The transcript is spliced from 2 exons. The record is from RefSeq and is a predicted model, not a curated record. NCBI's taxonomy places the organism in Eukaryota, Metazoa, Chordata, Lepidosauria, Squamata, Cordylidae.